CUGGCUCAGAUUGAACGCUGGCGGCAGGCCUAACACAUGCAAGUCGAGCGGUAACACAAGAGAGCUUGCUCUCUGGGUGACGAGCGGCGGACGGGUGAGUAAUGUCUGGGAAACUGCCUGAUGGAGGGGGAUAACUACUGGAAACGGUAGCUAAUACCGCAUGACCUCGCAAGAGCAAAGUGGGGGACCUUCGGGCCUCACGCCAUCGGAUGUGCCCAGAUGGGAUUAGCUAGUAGGUGAGGUAAUGGCUCACCUAGGCGACGAUCCCUAGCUGGUCUGAGAGGAUGACCAGCCACACUGGAACUGAGACACGGUCCAGACUCCUACGGGAGGCAGCAGUGGGGAAUAUUGCACAAUGGGCGCAAGCCUGAUGCAGCCAUGCCGCGUGUGUGAAGAAGGCCUUCGGGUUGUAAAGCACUUUCAGCGAGGAGGAAGGCGUUGCAGUUAAUAGCUGUGGCGAUUGACGUUACUCGCAGAAGAAGCACCGGCUAACUCCGUGCCAGCAGCCGCGGUAAUACGGGAGGGUGCAAGCGUUAAUCGGAAUUACUUGGGCGUAAAGCGCACGCAGGCGGUUUGUUAAGUCAGAUGUGAAAUCCCCGAGCUUAACUUGGGAACUGCAUUUGAAACUGGCAAGCUAGAGUCUUGUAGAGGGGGGUAGAAUUCCAGGUGUAGCGGUGAAAUGCGUAGAGAUCUGGAGGAAUACCGGUGGCGAAGGCGGCCCCCUGGACAAAGACUGACGCUCAGGUGCGAAAGCGUGGGGAGCAAACAGGAUUAGAUACCCUGGUAGUCCACGCUGUAAACGAUGUCGAUUUGGAGGUUGUGGGCAUGACCCGUGGCUUCCGGAGCUAACGCGUUAAAUCGACCGCCUGGGGAGUACGGCCGCAAGGUUAAAACUCAAAUGAAUUGACGGGGGCCCGCACAAGCGGUGGAGCAUGUGGUUUAAUUCGAUGCAACGCGAAGAACCUUACCUACUCUUGACAUCCAGAGAAUUUGCUAGAGAUAGCUUAGUGCCUUCGGGAACUCUGAGACAGGUGCUGCAUGGCUGUCGUCAGCUCGUGUUGUGAAAUGUUGGGUUAAGUCCCGCAACGAGCGCAACCCUUAUCCUUUGUUGCCAGCACGUAAUGGUGGGAACUCAAAGGAGACUGCCGGUGAUAAACCGGAGGAAGGUGGGGAUGACGUCAAGUCAUCAUGGCCCUUACGAGUAGGGCUACACACGUGCUACAAUGGCAUAUACAAAGAGAAGCGAACUCGCGAGAGCCAGCGGACCUCACAAAGUAUGUCGUAGUCCGGAUUGGAGUCUGCAACUCGACUCCAUGAAGUCGGAAUCGCUAGUAAUCGUAGAUCAGAAUGCUACGGUGAAUACGUUCCCGGGCCUUGUACACACCGCCCGUCACACCAUGGGAGUGGGUUGCAAAAGAAGUAGGUAGCUUAACCUUCGGGAGGGCGCUUACCACUUUGUGAUUCAUGACUGGGGUGAAGUCGA
Molecule: ribosomal RNA, 1483 nt
Filed under: Hafnia sp. HHS28
Lineage: Bacteria; Pseudomonadati; Pseudomonadota; Gammaproteobacteria; Enterobacterales; Hafniaceae
Description: bacterial SSU rRNA
Rfam family: Bacterial small subunit ribosomal RNA
Source: RNAcentral